GAUGAACGCUGGCGGCGUGCCUAAUACAUGCAAGUCGAGCGAACAGACGAGGAGCUUGCUCCUCUGACGUUAGCGGCGGACGGGUGAGUAACACGUGGAUCACCUACCUAUAAGACUGGGAUAACUUCGGGAAACCGGAGCUAAUACCGGAUAAUAUAUUGAACCGCAUGGUUCAAUAGUGAAAGACGGUUUUGCUGUCACUUAUAGAUGGAUCCGCGCCGCAUUAGCUAGUUGGUAAGGUAACGGCUUACCAAGGCGACGAUGCGUAGCCGACCUGAGAGGGUGGUCGGCCACACUGGAACUGAGACAGGGUCCAGACUCCUACGGGAGGCAGCAGUAGGGAAUGUUCCGCAAUGGGCGAAAGCCUGACGGAGCAACGCCGCGUGAGUGAUGAAGGUCUUCGGAUCGGAAAACUCUGUUACUAGGGAAGAACAAAUGUGUAAGUAACUAUGCACGUCUUGACGGUACCUAAUCAGAAAGCCACGGCUAACUACGUG
RNAcentral lists this ribosomal RNA (497 nucleotides) under uncultured bacterium. RNAcentral's name for it is "partial 16S ribosomal RNA". It matches the Rfam family "Bacterial small subunit ribosomal RNA", at positions 28 to 507 of the family's 1533-position model. The record is from RNAcentral.